AAGACUAUAAACAAUCACUAAAGGGCUAUUAAUUGAAGAAUUAAUUGAAGCCUGAAAAAACAAGAAUAAAAAUGAAUCUUCAGGAAGUUUCAGAAUGAAAAUGAAGUCCAGGCUUCAGGGACAUCCUAGUUCAGAAAUGUGAAAACAGAGGAUGUCUUCUAAUGAGAGAAAAGAAAUCAUUUAAGGGGCUUCAUCCAUAGCUCACCAGAGAGAGAACCAUUUCCACAGACUUCAAUGGAUUUCACUUCAGGCUUUUUCUGGACUGGACUAAUCAACCAUUCCUUAGUCAAAAUAUGUUCCUUGUAUCUGUAGGCACUGUGCAAUA
Gymnogyps californianus (California condor) is the source of this 325-nucleotide long non-coding RNA. RefSeq lists it as uncharacterized. Lineage: Eukaryota; Metazoa; Chordata; Aves; Accipitriformes; Cathartidae. The transcript is spliced from 4 exons. The record is from RefSeq and is a predicted model, not a curated record.